ACUGUAGGCAUGCACCACUGAAGCCAGCUCAUGUUUCAUUUUUUAAAUCCUGACUUUUAAAAAAUAUUUACCAGAAGCCCAAACCUCACCAUAAUCCUGAUUUUUUUCUCCUUUUUCUUAAUUAUGUUUGCCAGUGUUUGUCUAUUUUUAAUUAGUCUUUGCAUAGACCAUCUAUUAUGUUGUUCUGAAUUUCUCAUCAAGGUGUGUAACUUUUACUCCUUGUGUAAUCAGCAGAUACCUGACAUUCUCUGUUUCUCCUUCUAGAAAUGUGAUACCUCAAAGCACAAAGUGCUGGUAGUGUCUGUGUGUCCUCAAUCUUUGCCUUAUUUUGCUGCUAAAUUCAACCUCAGUGUAACUGAUGCAUCCAGAAGACUCUGUGGUUUCCUCAAAAGUCUUGGGGUGCACUAUGUAUUUGAUACGACGAUAGCUGCGGAUUUUAGUAUCCUGGAGAGUCAAAAAGAAUUCGUGCGUCGCUAUCGCCAGCACAGUGAGGAGGAACGCACCCUGCCCAUGCUGACCUCUGCCUGUCCUGGCUGGGUCAGAUACGCCGAGCGGGUGCU
RNAcentral lists this small RNA (560 nucleotides) under Pongo abelii (Sumatran orangutan). RNAcentral describes it as "retained intron". Lineage: Eukaryota; Metazoa; Chordata; Mammalia; Primates; Hominidae. The record is from RNAcentral.